Molecule: ribosomal RNA, 375 nt
Filed under: uncultured organism
Description: partial 16S ribosomal RNA
Rfam family: Bacterial small subunit ribosomal RNA
Source: RNAcentral
GUAGGUGGCAAGCGCUGUCCGGAAUUAUUGGGCGUAAAGCGCGCGCAGGCGGUUCUUUAAGUCUGAUGUGAAAGCCCACGGCUCAACCGUGGAGGGUCAUUGGAAACUGGAGAACUUGAGUACAGAAGAGGAAAGCGGAAUUCCACGUGUAGCGGUGAAAUGCGUAGAGAUGUGGAGGAACACCAGUGGCGAAGGCGGCUUUCUGGUCUGUAACUGACGCUGAGGCGCGAAAGCGUGGGGGGGAGCAAACAGGAUUAGAUACCCUGGUAGUCCACGCCGUAAACGAUGAUGCUAAGUGUUAGGGGGUUUCCGCCCCCCCCUUAGUGCUGCAGCUAACGCAUUAAGCACUCCGCCUGGGGAUACGGCGCAAGGCUG